This is a long non-coding RNA of Mesoplodon densirostris (Blainville's beaked whale), 887 nucleotides long. RefSeq lists it as uncharacterized. The transcript has 3 exons. The record is from RefSeq and is a predicted model, not a curated record. NCBI's taxonomy places the organism in Eukaryota, Metazoa, Chordata, Mammalia, Artiodactyla, Ziphiidae.
CGGGAAGCGAGUUGCGGGCUGGAGCGGUAAGCAACCUUGCUGAGCGUCAGAAGAGUGACAUAAUAAAGCCAAUCUGCAAGGACUGGAAAGUGAAUUACAACAGGAGAAAAUCAGACUUCUAUGCAGUGGAUGCUUGAUGCAUUUUUAGAAGCCUAAGAAGAACAUAGAAUGGUGCUGGAUAAAGCUCGGGAGGAGGCAGAUGUGCUUCAUGUAGACACGCCUGACAAGCCGGGACCAAGCUCAGGAGAAAAGGGAACAAGAGAAUGAAACAACAGGCCACUCUGCUGGCCGCUGCCUUACAUAGGGAAGAGCCGGAUCAAGUGGAGGACCCUACAAGGGAGUUGGCAAAAGGUCUGGUCCUUCUCUACAGCAGUUGUUACAGACAGUCCUGAAGUAGCUGGAAUAUAGCCAGCAAGGGCCCAGGUGGAGCAACAAUUCGUCUUGAAUCUUUGAAUGGAAUAUGAAGAGAGACGAUUGAGAUGAUGCCUAAGAAUAAGGACACAUGUUGCUGAACUGUGCCCACUUCUCUGGUGGCUGCAGCUGUGACUACGGCUGCUGGAGCGGGACCUGUGGCAGUGGCAUUUCUCCCGGGAUUUGGGUGGAGUUUUCCUUUUCUGUUCCCAUGACAUGGAGCAAGACCUAUGUGUGCGAUGCUCUCUGGACCUGGAUCUACAAAAGAUAUUUAGUUUUUAGCUUUGUUGACACUGUUUCUCAUUUACUAAAGCCUCCUCUUUAAAGAGAAACUAUCCCUCAGUAGCCUUACUUAAUGCCAAUACUAUUUCAAAUCAGCUAAAUCUACACUAAAAUAAAUUGCUGGUAUAUUAAUAACUACAUACUAGAAUUUCAAAAUAAAAAUUUAACAUUAAAAAAAUCAGACUACCAGUGUU